This 376-nucleotide ribosomal RNA is filed under the name uncultured bacterium. Its description in RNAcentral is "bacterial SSU rRNA". It matches the Rfam family "Bacterial small subunit ribosomal RNA", at positions 29 to 432 of the family's 1533-position model. The record is from RNAcentral.
AACGAACGCUGGCGGCAUGCCUAACACAUGCAAGUCGAACGAGACCUUCGGGUCUAGUGGCGCACGGGUGCGUAACGCGUGGGAACCUGCCUUUAGGUUCGGAAUAACUCAGAGAAAUUUGAGCUAAUACCGGAUAAUGUCUUCGGACCAAAGAUUUAUCGCCUUUAGAUGGGCCCGCGUUGGAUUAGCUAGUUGGUGGGGUAAAGGCCUACCAAGGCGACGAUCCAUAGCUGGUCUGAGAGGAUGAUCAGCCACACUGGGACUGAGACACGGCCCAGACUCCUACGGGAGGCAGCAGUGGGGAAUAUUGGACAAUGGGCGAAAGCCUGAUCCAGCAAUGCCGCGUGAGUGAUGAAGGCCUUAGGGUUGUAAAGCU